UGAUGCCAUGACAGAGCGUGAGGGCUCCU
Molecule: non-coding RNA, 29 nt
Filed under: Homo sapiens (human)
Lineage: Eukaryota; Metazoa; Chordata; Mammalia; Primates; Hominidae
Source: RNAcentral